This 283-nucleotide small nucleolar RNA is filed under the name Babjeviella inositovora NRRL Y-12698. RNAcentral's name for it is "Small nucleolar RNA snR191". It matches the Rfam family "Small nucleolar RNA snR191". Lineage: Eukaryota; Fungi; Ascomycota; Pichiomycetes; Serinales. The record is from Rfam by way of RNAcentral.
CGCCAAAGAUCUUUGUCAGGACGGUUACGCUUUACCUGAGUCGGACACUUGUGCCCUUCUCUGGAUUCUCACGUAAUUGUCUGUUACAUCCUUGGGAGAUUGAUAUCACCCACCUCGCGUCGUCUCGUUUUGGGAUUAUACGCGAACCAGAGUGCCGCGGCUUGCCGUGUCUAUUCCGUUCUGGAAUUAACGCACUUGCUCGGGUGAGCAGGGUCUUAUGAGUUGAAGCUACUUCGGUUUACGCCUGUCGGUAAAUAGCUUCGUAGUAAAGAACCUGACACUU